RNAcentral lists this ribosomal RNA (538 nucleotides) under uncultured bacterium. Its description in RNAcentral is "bacterial SSU rRNA". It matches the Rfam family "Bacterial small subunit ribosomal RNA", at positions 8 to 526 of the family's 1533-position model. The record is from RNAcentral.
AGAGUUUGUCAUGGCUCAGAAUCAACGCUGGCGGCGUGCCUCAGACAUGCAAGUCGAACGCGAAAGCUCCCUUCGGGGAGCAAGUAGAGUGGCGCACGGGUGAGUAACACGUAGGUAAUCUACCUUCGGAUGGGGAAUAACAACCGGAAACGGUUGCUAAUACCGCAUAAUGCAGCGGCACCUAAUGGUGACAGUUGUUAAAGCGGGGGAUCGCAAGACCUCGCGUCUGAAGAGAAGCCUGCGGCAGAUUAGCUAGUUGGUAGGGUAAUGGCCUACCAAGGCGACGAUCUGUAACCGGCCUGAGAGGGCGGUCGGUCACACUGACACUGACAUACGGGUCAGACUCCUACGGGAGGCAGCAGUCGGGAAUUUUGGGCAAUGGGCGAAAGCCUGACCCAGCAACGCCGCGUGAAGGAUGAAAUUUUUCGGAAUGUAAACUUCGCAAGAACGGGAAGAAUAAGUAGAAGAUAAUACCUUCUAUGAUGACGGUACCGUUUGUAAGCUCCGGCUAACUCCGUGCCAGCAGCGGCGGUAAUAC